AAUCAACGCUGGCGGCAUGCCUAACACAUGCAAGUCGAACGGGAAAGUGGGAGCAAUCCCAUGAGUAUAGUGGCGCACGGGUGAGUAACACGUUGGUACCUGCCCUCUAGUGGGGAAUAACUGGCCGAAAGGUCGGCUAAUACCGCAUGUGGUCUACGGAUCAAAGCAGCAAUGCGCUAGAGGAGGGGCCUGCGUCUGAUUAGCUAGUUGGUAGUGAAUGGACUACCAAGGCGACGAUCAGUAGCUGGUUCGAGAGGAUGACCAGCCACACUGGGACUGAGAUACGGCCCAGACUCCUACGGGAGCAGCAAGUAAGGAAUCUUCCACAAUGGACGAAAGUCUGAUGGAGCAACGCCGCGUGCAGGAU
This 367-nucleotide ribosomal RNA is filed under the name uncultured bacterium. RNAcentral's name for it is "bacterial SSU rRNA". It matches the Rfam family "Bacterial small subunit ribosomal RNA", at positions 32 to 409 of the family's 1533-position model. The record is from RNAcentral.